Molecule: long non-coding RNA, 32246 nt
Filed under: Nicotiana benthamiana
Lineage: Eukaryota; Viridiplantae; Streptophyta; Magnoliopsida; Solanales; Solanaceae
Description: long non-coding RNA (NBEN_LNC022765)
Source: RNAcentral
CCGACGACCCUUCUUUUGAAUAUUCGAGACGGAGGAGUUGAUCAAAGGAAGCUGAUUGCAGGACGGUGAAGAGAAUGUCUUGGUGGUUUGGUGGUGUAAAGUUGGGAUGGUUUGGUGACCGGCCGCCACCGUGAGGCGAUUUCCGGCGGCAGCGUUAGGGUGGUUGUUGGGUGGUCAAGGCGGUCAAAAGGUGGAGAUGGGUAGGUGUAUUUUGUACGAGGAAGAUGAAGACUUUGUCUCUGUAUCUAUUCAUAUAUUUGGACAUAUUUAUUCAAUUUUGGGUGAGGGUUUCAUGGUCGUUGGAUGAUUGGAUGAUCGACGGAUGUGAUGGAUCUUCCUGGAACAGUGUCGUUUUGGGCAGGUUGCAUAUGGACUGGGUCAGGGACUGGUGUCUGGGCUGGAGCUGUAUAUAUUUACAGGGAAAAGGGUUUGGGCCACCCAGGUCUGGCCCAGUUGUGGCCAGCCUGGGUGGCUGUGUGUGUGUGUAUAUAUAUAUAUAUAUAUGUUUAUAUUUUGUUUUGUUUUUCUUUCUUCUCUUUUUUAUUAUUAUUUAAUUCCUAAUUUUAUUUUAUUUUUUUAAAGAAAUUCCUAAUUAACACAAACAAAAAAAGAACACAAUAAGUUAAACAAAAAUGAUUAAAGUGCCAGAAAUACUACUUGCAUAUUUUUUGAAUUUUAUAUUCGCAAAAAUUACCGUAAUUAACAAUUAUUUUAGCAAAAAUAUGAAACUAAAUCCUAAAUUAAAACACACGGGCACGCGCAUUUAAAUUCUAAAAUUAAAUCCUAAAACAAAUAUUAAGAAGAAAAUCCUAAACUUGAGAGUCCUAUAGGAAUCGUCUUAAUAGGGAAAAAUUCACAUAGUCACAAAAAUUAAUUGUUCAUUAAUAACAGUUAGGAUCACAAUGUCACUAGUUUUUGUUUUUUAAUCAUACAUGGGAAUGACGAGUUGUCCUUUUGUUCUUUAAGGAGUUGAUGUUUCUAAUUGUGAUUUUUUGAAAUUUUACAAUUCUUAAUUAUUCAAAUACAUGGAUAAUGCUGAAAUUUCUUUUAGAAGACUUGAAAAAUAAUUAGCAUCUUAACAAUGGAUAGAGAUGACGAUUUAGUUAGUACAAGUGAUAACCAAUUUUAAAUAGGUGUUCAGCCUAAGUCAUUUUAGUAACAGGCUGCUAGAGUUAAUUCUUUAGAAGAAAAAUUGUAGACGUAUUUUUAAAUAUUAACUCAUGUGUUCAUACUCAAACUUUGGAUAGAUAUACUUUAAAAAUAAAAGGAUCAUGUGUGCAUUCAGCGUCUUGAUACCUUUUAACUUUAUAAUAAUUAUGAUUUAUCCAUAUGUACAUUCCGUAUCUUGAUUUAACACUUAAUUAUUUCAAAUGAGUACCUCGUGUGCAUUUCGCAUCUUGGUGAAUACAAUUAAUUAAAAUAUGAUACUAAUUAAGCGGUAGUAAAUAAUCCAUAAUCAAUAAAAUAUAAGAAUAGUUAAAAAAUUGAUUUAAGCCUUACAUUAAUCAAUAGAAACAACCAUGCUAGAACCACGGGACUCGAGGGGUGCCUUACACCUUUCCCUCGGUUAACAGAAUUUCUUACUCAAUCUUCUAUUUUCGUAGACCAUAAAUUUAAGAGUCAAACAUUCCUUUUGAAAAAGGAUUCAAAUAGAAGGUGACUUGGAACACCAAAACUCAAUUCCAAGUAGCGACUCUAAAUAAUAAAUAAUCCUUUUUCAAAACGUCAUUUUAAUUGGAAAUACUCUUCUAACUCAACCUCGUAAUUGGGUUGUGUGACAAAAAAGAGGUGUGACAAUACUCAUUUCAAACUCACACCCCAUUAAUUUAGCAAAAUCCUUCUCAAAUUAUCAGUAGUAGCCCCAAAUAUUAUGUCAUCAACAUAUAUUUGUACAACAAUGAGGUCUUUACCUUUUUCCCUUAGGAACAAAGUGCUGUCAAUUUUACCUCUUUUGUAGGAAUUUUGAUAGUCGCGCAUACCACGCUCUUGGGUCCUGCUUGAGCCCAUAUAGAGCGUUGUCUAGCCUAUACACAUGCUCAGGACAUUGAUUUUACCUCUUUUGUACACGUGCUCCAGUAGAAAUUUUGAUUGUCGUUCAUACCACGUUCUUGGGGCCUGUUUGAGCCCAUAUAGAGCCUUGUCCAACUUGUACACAUGCUCAGGACAUUCUCUAGGGGACUUCUUGAGCCCAUAUAGAGCCUUGUCCAAUUUGUACACAUGCUCAGGACAUUCUUUGCUUUCAAAUCCUGAAUGUUUUUUUACAAACACUUUUUCCUUGAGGUAGCCAUUUAGGAAGGCACUUUUGACAUCCAUCUGAUGAAGAGUGAAUUCUAUAUGUGCUGUAAAGGCAAUGAGAAGUCUGAUUGCUUCUUGUCUUGCAACUGGAGCAAAGGACUCAUCAUAGUCAAUUCCUUCCUCUUGGCCGUAGCCUUGAACUACCAGUCUUGCUUUGUUUCUUGUGACAGUUCCAUCUUUAUCAAGUUUGUUCCUGAAGACCCAUUUGGUACCAAUGACUAAUCUAUCCUUGGGUCUUAGAACUAGAUGCCAGACUUGACUUCUUUCAAAUUGAUUGAGUUCCUCUUGCAUAACAUUGACCCAAUCUGCAUCCUUUAAAGCCUCAGCAACAUUUUUAGGUUCAAUAAGAGAUAGAAAGGCAUCAAAUGCACAUUGAUUCUUUAGUCGUGGUCUGGUUUUGACUCCACAUGUUGGAUCAAUGAGAAUGUUCUCAAUGGGAUGAGAACUUUGAUACUUGUGAAUUUUCAUGACCAACUGGUUUCUGCUGAAUGUUUCAGCUAUUUGCUGAGAACCAGGUUCAUGAACAGGUUCCUUCAAGGGGUUUAUUUCAAUUCCUCUUUUAUUUCUUCCCCCUGUUAAGUUGCCCUGUAAGGAAGAACCUGUUCCAUCACCUGAUUCUUCUAUAGGCGCUGCUUUGACUUGAGUUGAUGCUUCACCCAAGUCUUUGACCAGUGUUGCCCUGUAAGGAAGAACCUAUUCCAUCUCAUGUUCCUUUUGUAGGUGUUGCUUUGACUUGAACUGAUGCUUUACCCAAGUCUUUGACCAGUCCAAUGGCUUCAUCUUCACGUUCCUAUCCUUCCAAAAGAAUGUUAGUUUCAUCAAAGACAAUAUGCACACUUUCUUCUACACACAAAGUUCUGUUAUUAAACACUUUAUAUGUUUUGCUAUGUGAAGAAUAUCCAAAGAAUACUCCCUUAUCACUUCUGGGAUCAAACUUACCUAGGGAGUCUUUUCCAUUAUUGUGCNNNNNNNNNNNNNNNNNNNNNNNNNNNNNNNNNNNNNNNNNNNNNNNNNNNNNNNNNNNNNNNNNNNNNNNNNNNNNNNNNNNNNNNNNNNNNNNNNNNNNNNGAUAUCACUUGCAACCAAAUGCCCUAAGAUGGGAUAUGUUUGGUUUUCUCCCUUUAAGUAACUCAUAUGGAGUCUUCUCAAUAAGAGGUCUAGUCAUGCAUCUAUUAAUUAUAUAACACGCAGUGUUUACAGCCUCUUCCCAAAAGCUGUGGGGUAAUUUACUAGAGAAAAGCAUGGUCCUUGCCAUAUCCUAAAGGGUCCUGUUCUUUCUUUCAACUACUCCAUUUUGCUGAGGAGUCCUAUGGGCAUAGAAGUUGUGAUAUAUACCAUUUUAAUCACAAUAUUCAGCAAAUUUUGCAUUUUCAAAUUCAGUUCCAUGAUCAGACCUAAUGGAUGCAAGUUGAUUUCCUAAUUGUUUCUGAGUUUUUCUAACAAAAGCAGCAAACAUUUCAAAUGCCUCAUCUUUAGAUGUCAGAAAUAGUACCCAGGUAAAUCUAGAGUAAUCAUCAACAAACACCAUCACAUAUUUCUUUCCUCCUCUGCUCAUGGUUCUUAUUGGACAACAGAGAUUUAUAUAAACAAUUUCCAACGUCUUGGACGUACUUACCAUUUUCUUGGAUUUGAAGGAUGACCUUACCCACUUUCCCCUUGUACAUGCCUCACAAACUUUGUCUUCCUUAAACUUGAUAUUAGGUAAUCCUAUUACCAAGUCCUAGGAGACUAAUUUGUUUAGCUGAUUUAGACUGGCAUGGCCAAGUCUUUUGUGCCAUAGGAGGGGAUCAUUGCCUAACACACUUAAAUAAGUGAGUUCAUUUUCUGAAAGAGUUGACAAAUAUACAAUGUAAAUAUUGUUAACUCUUUUUCCCUGCAAAACAACCUUGUCAGUGAUAAGGUUAAUCACAAAAUAUUUGGUGGAGGUAAAAGCCACAAGGUUGCCUCUGUCAUACAGUUGUGACACACUUAUUAAGUUUCAAACCAUCUACCAGGUAGACAUUCUCUAUGGAGUGAGAAUCAGUCUUGACUACCUUUCCAACCCCAAUGAUCUCACAUUUCUUUCCAUUAUCAAAGGAGACAUUACCUCCUUUUAGGUCCUCAAGUGAAAGGAACUAGUCCUUGUCCCCAGUCAUGUGUUUUGAGCAACCACUAUCCAUAUACCAUAUUUGGCUCCUCCCUCUCACAUGGACCUGCAAAAGGAAAUCAGGGGUUAGUCUUAGGAACUCAAACUAGUUUGGGUCCCUUUCUAUAAGAAAAAAUAUGAAUUAAAUUCCUUUUUGCCCGUCCAGGCAACUUAUUCUUUUCUUUAACAAAAACUUUGUUCCUUUGACUGGCUAUUUCUUUUGCAUUACAUUCAUAUUUGUAAUGUCCAAUCUUACAAUAGUGUGUUGCAGAUUUUGUUUUCAGGAAGAGUGAGUUACUUUCCUUUUGGAUCCCAUUUAGGAGCUUGAGUCCCAUAGCAAAGUCCUCUUUUGUUACUGUUGUGAUGCUCUUGCAACCAAGAGAGAGUAUCUGAGGCUUUGUUCCACUUGCAAGUUUUGUAUAGUUCAUGUUUUACUUUUCCUAGACCUUCUUUUAGAACAUUGAUGAAUUCAUCUUUUCUGUAUAAUUCCUCUUUCAUUUAUCCUAAACUUUCUUCUAGAGUGAGAUGUGUGUGAUCAGUUAUCUUCUUUCAUGUCCCUAAUUUUAGUUUCAGAUUUUCAGACCUAAGUUCUAAGACACUGUUGUCAAGUGGAAGAACCUGGUUCUUCAACUUAGUAUUUUUGUUAUCACUCUCAUUUGCUCUAGACUCUAGACUUUUAUAUUUUGCUUUAGAAUCACACAUUCCCUAGAUAGAACUUCCUUCACAUUAUUGAUUAUUUCAAACUCAUCAAUGAAGUCCAUUAAUAGCUCAGCUAGUUUUUCUUAAGACAAGAAUUUAAUCUUGUCUUUGAGAUGUAGAAUACUUACCUCUUGCUCAUCAUAUGAUUCUCCGAUGGCCAUUAAUGCUUGCUCCUCCUCAGCUUCAUCUUCUGAGUCUUCGUCAGUUUCUCCCCAAGAAGCAACCAUACCCUGGGUUGAACCUUUGUUGCUCCUGGGUUGAACCUGUUCCUUCGUUCAGUUCCUUCGUUCAGCACUUUCUUUCUUCCACUCAAUUUCCCAUAGAGGACAGUUUGAUCAUGUGGUCAGUUUUGCCACACUUGUAGCAUCCCUCAUUUCCCCGUUUCUCCGGAACUCUUGUUUUAUUGAAGCUUGUACUUCUUGAAUAAUUUCUAUUUAUUAGAUAUCUUUUGAAAUCCCUAGUGAUCAUAGCUAUUUCAUCAUCUUCUAAUUAUGCACCUUUAGCAAUUCUAAGUGCUAAACUUCUCUCCCUAUUGGGGGUAUCCAUCUUCAUGGUUUGUCCCCUCAUUUCAUAGGCAGUUAAAUUUCCAAUUAGUUCAUCCAGUCUAAGGGUAGUAAUGUUCUUGGAUUCCUGAAUGGCAGUGAUUUUGCUUUCACAUGUGACUGGCAAACUCUUGUCAUAAUCUUCUCAAACUUGUCUUCUUCAAGGAUAGUCCUUCCAAGAGAUUUCAGUUCAUUUGUCAAAGUGGGAAUCUAGUGUAUAUCUCCUGAAUAGUUUCUCCUUCCUUCAUAGUAAAAUUCUCAUAUUGAGAAUACAGAAGUGUUCCUCUUGAUCUUUUCACUCGGGGUGUUCCUUCAUGAGCCACUUGUUGGGUGUCCCAUAUUUCUUUGGCGGUUGUGCAGCUUUGGAUCCUACCGUACUCGUCUGGUCCUAGACUACAUACAAGCCACUUCUUGGACUUAGCAUUUUUCUCCCAUUUUUUCAAGUCUUCUGUGAUGCAGUCAGCCCUAAUCUUUGGCACUUCAAUUCCUUCAGCAUUCUUCUUAGUGGUUGCUAGAGGACCAUCAAUGAUUAUGUUUCAAAGUUCAUAAUCUUCCCCUAUAAUGUGAUCUCUCAUUCUGUUCUUCCACAAAUAAUAGUACUAAUCACUGAAAAGUGGAGGCCUAGAAGUGGAUUGCCUUCCCAGUUUCCAGGUGGUGCACUCAUUGUUGAUCUUCUCUUAAGGUGUUAGCCUCUUCAAGUAUAACCUGCUCUGAUACCAAUUGAUGUUCCAAACAUUAAUUCCACACAAGAGGGGGGCUGAUUUUUGUGGUACCCAAUUUUCACACUAGAAGAACCCAAUUUUUCUAGGCGUACUAACUAUGACUGUUUGCGGAAUUAAGAGUGCAUAAAAUAAAGAACACAGAGAUUUUUACGUGGAAAACACCUGGCUCAAAAGGUGAAAAACCACAACCUACUACUCGGUAGGAUUUCCCGAAGCAUCCACUAAACUCAAUGAGCCAAAACAGCAUUCAAAACUCUUUAUAAACCUAAGGAUUAACUCUAAUCCCAAUGUGCCACACAACCUCAACUGUUGCGAUACUUUCAAGUUAACUCUAACUUGAAUACUCAAUGUACCUAAUACAAUUUGCUUCUAUGCAGGAUGGAAAGGUACAAUUUUAAAUCACCUACUAUAAUUGAACUAGAAAUAAAGAAAAACACAAUGGAACUGGUUUUUCAAUCUUGUUCAAGUAAUUGCAAGCGUGCACACUUGAUCUAACGUAAAUUGCUUGCAAAAUAGUCUUGCUCUUUUGCUCUCAAUUUAGCUCUAACUUCUUUGUAUUUGUGCGUUCCUGUACAAGAGAACAGUAUUACUUUUAUAGAGUUAGUAAUCAAAGUUUAACAAAAACUCGAAUUGCUGAUCCUUCAUCAAGUUUGAGUCCUAGAACAAUUCAAACUCCAAUUCCUUAUCCUAGAUCCGGAUAUAAUUCUCUUGAUAUAAGGAGACCUCUUCUCCUUAUCCCAUAUGCAAUCUUUUCGAUUACUUCAGAAUAUAUUUCUGCUCAAGAUCCAGAUAUAGUUCUCUUCAUAUAAGGAGACCUCUUCUCCUUAUCCCAUAUGUAAUCUUUUAGAUCAAUUCAGAAGAUAUUGCUGCUCGAUCACAAAGGCUUAUCUUCUUCACGUGCAUCUCAUGUGCAUAUGCUGUAACAAUAAUGUCUCCUAAGAUGGACAUGGUCCUUCACUGAGUUCAUUUGUCAUUCUUCAAAACUUCAACUAAACUUGGGCCAACAGUCAUCUUAUUCUUCCCUGUAUUUGGGCGUAUCUCGUGAUUCCUUGAGUUAUCUAGUUUAUAUAUCUGCACCUAUGGGAGAUUCUAUUAUUAUUAACCAUGUGUAUCGGUCAUGUUUGGUUGAUCUUAAUGGUUUUGAGACCAAAUCCAAUCUAUUAUUUCUCAGUAUGGUAGACUUUGAUGUUAUUUUAGGCAUGGACUAGGUGUCACCCUAUCAUGGUAUUCUUGAUUGUUAUGCCAAGAUCGUAAUGCUGGCUAUGUUGGGAUUGCCAUGAUUAGAGUGGAUAGGUACCAUAGAUUGUACUCCUAGUAGAGUUAUUUCAUUUCUAAAGGCUCAAUGGAUGGUUGAUAGGGGUGUGAUGCGUAUCUAGCAUAUGUGAGAGAUGUCAUUGUUGAUACUCCUACAUUGAGUCAGUUCUGGUAGUGAGGGAUUAUCCAGAUGUAUUCCUGGUGGAUCUUCCAGACAUGUUGCUCGAUAAGGAUAACGACUUUGGAACUGAUUUAUUACCGGGUACUCGGCCUAUCUCUAUUCCUCCAUAUCAUAUAGCUCCACCAGAGUUGUAGAAGUUAGAGGAACAAUUGCAAGAGUUGCUUAAUAAGAUCUUCAUUUGGCCCAGUGUGUCUUCUUGGGGUGCUCCAGUCUUGUUAGUGAAGAAGAAAGAUGAUUUUGUGUGCAUGUGUAUUGAUUAUCGCCUAGUUGAAUAAGGUUAUAAUGAAGAAUAGGUGUUAGUUGCCAUGUAUUCUUGAUGUAAUAUAAUCAAUUACAGGUUGUAGAGUGUUCUCCAAGAUAGACUUGCAUUCCGACUAUCAUCAGUUGAAGACUCGAGAGCAAUAUAUCCUGAAGACUGCCUUCAGGACUCCGUAUGUAACUAUUACUUCCUUGUGAUGUCAUUGGCUGACCAAGCCCCAGCAGCAUUCAUGCACUUGAUGAACAUUGUAUUACGGUCCUAUCUUAACUCAUUUGUCAUUGCAUUUAUCGAAGACAUUUUGGUGUACCCCCAUAAUCGGGAGGAUCAUAGAAGCCCUUGAGGGCUGUGCCUCAAACCUUGAGAGAAAAGAAGUUGUAUGCAAAAUUUGCAAUAUGUGAAUCUGGCUAGAUUCAGUGGAAUGUUUGGGCCAUAUGGUGUCAAGUGAAGGAAUAAAGGUAGAUCCGAAAAAGAUUGAAGUAGUGCAGAGUUUUCCUAGACCGUCCUAAGCUACGGAGACCUAGAGUUUUCUUGGUUUGGCGGGGUAUUACUAUCGAAUUGUAGAGGGUUUCUUAUCUAUUGCAACACCAAUGACUAGAUUGACCCAGAAGGGUGCUCCAUUUAAGUGGACAGAGAAGUGUGAGGAGAGCUUUCAAAACCUCAAGACUGUUUUAACUACAGCUCCAGUAUUGGUCUUGCUUACAGGUUCAAGGUCUUAUACUAUAUAUUGUGAUACUUCAAGUACCAGUAUCUGUACAGUGUUGAUGUAGGACGGUAAGGUGAUUUUCUAUGCGUCUAGACGAAUGAAGGUGCAUGAGAAGAACCAUCAUGUCCACAACCUUGAUUUAGCAGAUAUUGUUCAUGCCUUGAAAAUUUGGCGGCACUAUUUGUACGAUGUCCUUUGUGAGAUAUAAAUCGAUCACCAGAGAUGCAGCAUUUGAUCAAAAAUAAGGAUCUUAAUUUGCGUCAGCGAAGGUGGUUAGAGUUGCUUAUGGACUAUAAUAUCACCAUUCUAUAUCAUCCCCAUAAAGACAAUAUGGUAGAUGAUGCCUUGAGUCGUUGGGAGGAGAUUUUGGGCAGUCUAGCAUAUCUACCAGCAGUAGAGAGGCCAUUAGCAUUGCAUGUUCAGGCCUCGGCCAACCAGUUUGUUGGGUGGGAUGUUUCUGAGCCAAGUCGAGUUUUGACUUAUGUGGUUUCUCAGUCUUCUCUUUAUGAUCGUAUCAUAGAGCGUCAGUAUGAUGACCCCCAUCUAUUUGUCCUUAAGGACAUGGUUCAGCACAGAGAUGCCAAGGAGGUCACUAUUGGAGAUGAAGUGUAUUGAUGAUGCAAGGCAAGCUAUGUGUGCCCAAUGUAGAUGGUUUGCAUAGGUUGAUUCUCUAAGAGGUUCACAGUUCAUAAUACUCCAUUCAUUCAUGUGCCGCGAAUAUGUGAUAGGACCUAAGGAAGCAUUGUUGGUGGAGGAGAAUGAAGAAGGACAUAGUGGACUAUGUAACUUGGUGCCUAAAUUAUCAGCAGGUAAAGUAAGAGGAUCAACGGCUAGGUGGAUUGCUUCAGAAGCUAGAUAUUUCGGAGUGGAAAUGGGAGCGGAUCACUAUGGAGUUUGUUGUUGGGCUCCCACAGACUCAGUGGAAGUUUCAUACAGUUUGGGUAAUUGUGGAUAUGUUCUCCAAGUCGGAUCAUUUCAUUCCAGUGGUGACUACUUAUUCUUCUAAUCAUUUAGCUUGAGUUUAUUGUCAAGCUUCAUGGCAUACCAGUAUCCAUUAUCUCUAAUCGGGGUACGAAAUUUACAUCGCAAUUUUGGAGAGCCGUACACCAUGAGUUAGGUACUCGUGUUGAGUUGAGCAUAACAUUUCACCCUCAGACGGACAGACAGUCUGAGCAUACUAUUCAGAUAUUAGAGGAUAUGCUACAUGCAUAUGAGAUGCAGUUUGGGGUUUCUUGGGAUCAAUUUUUGCACUUGCUGAGUUUGCCUAUAACAACAGCUACCAGUCGAUCAUUCAAAUGGUCUCAUAUGAGACUUUGAAUGCUAGACGAUGUCGCUCUCCAAUGGGUUGUUUUGAGCUGGGCGAGGCUAGGCUAUUGGGUACAAACUUGGUUCAGAAUACUUUGAAAAAGGUUAAAUUGAUUCAGGAUCGACUUCGUACAGCCCAAUACAGAAGAUGAGUUGUGCAAAUCAGAAGGUUCACAACUUUGCAUUCAUUGUUGGCGAGCGGGUCUUGCUUUGAGUUUUGCCCAUGAAUGGUGUUAUGAGGUUUGGGAAGAAAGGGAAAACUGAGCCCAAGGUUAAUUGACCCAUUCAAGGUGUUGCAGUGAGUUGGGGAGGUUGAUUAUGAGUUUGCCUUGCCUCCUAGUCUAAUCGGGAGUUCAUCCAAUUUCCAUGUUUCUAUGCUCCAGAAGUAUUGCGGAGAUCUGUCUCAUGUGUUAGAUUUCAGCUCAGUCUAGUUGGACAAGGAUUUGUCUUAUAUUGAGGAGUCGGUGGCCAUUUUUGACAGGCGAGUUCAAAAGACGAGGUCGAAGAAUAUUGUUUUAGUGAAGGUUCAGUGGAGUGGUCAGCCAGUCGAGGAGGCAACUUAGAAGACCGAGCACGAUAUGCGUAGCUGUUAUCCUCAUCUUUUCACCACUUCAGGUAAGUCUCUAUACUCGUUUGAGGACGAACAUUUGUUUUAAGAUGAGGAGGAUGUAAUGAUCCGGCCGGCCGUUUUGAGAGUAUUAGACCUGAUCCCCUAUUUAUUGCUCUCUAUGUUUCAUUUUAUGGUUACUUGACUUACCGAGGUGCUUGGUGUUGGGUUCGGGAGAGUUUCAGAGUGAAAUGGGACACAGUCCCUAAGUUUGAAGUAUAAGUUGUAAGGUUGACUUGGGUGAAGACGACUCUAGAAUGGAGUUCUGUUGGUUCCAAUAGCUCCAUAUGGUGAUUUUGGUGUUAGGAGCAUGUCUAGAUGUUGAUUUGGAGGUUCGUAGGUUAUUUCGGCAUCAAUUGGCGAAGUUGGAAGAUUUUUGGAAAGUCUGAUUAGGAGUGGACGUCUUGAUAUCGGGAUUGGAUAUUGAUUCCAGAAGUUGUAACAAGUCCGUAAUGUCAUUUAGGACUUAUGUGCAAAUUUGAAGCCAGUCCGACUUGAUUUGGUAGGUUUCGGCAUCGGAUGUCGAAGUUAGACGUUUAAAAGUUUAUUAUGCUUUAAUCGAUGCACAAUUUAUUAUUUUAGCGUUGUUUGAUUUGAUUUGAAGGAUCGACUAAGUUCGUAUGAUGUGUUAGUACUUGUUGGUAUGUUUGGUUGAGAUCCCGGGGGCCUCAGGUGUGAUUUGGACCAUGUUCGGCACAAUUCGGAUCAUUUAUAAUUAGAUGGAGUUGUUGGUUUUUCUCAGGUUUGGUUUCCUUGAAUGCAAUUGCAUGGGUUGGUCCGCAAUCACGAAGGGGGUUUUGGGGGGAUUGGUGUUUUACUUUACGCGUUCGUAGAGAAUAGGAUGCGAACACGGAAAGGUUGGUUCAUAGCGAGUCGCGAACGAGUGGUGUAGGUCACAUUCGCAUUUAUUUAUUGGGUGCAACAAGAUUACGCACAAUUAUGCUUCACGGUCGCGUGGAUGAGUUCGUGAUCGCAUAGGUAUGGGUACUUAUUUGUCCGUGUUUGCAUGGAGUCAACCGCGUUCGUAUAGGCCAUUUUGGGAUAACCUUGCUUUCUUCUUCGCGAUCGUGGGGUUAUUCCGCGAUUGCGUAGUGUAAUUAUUGGGCAUCAGAACUUAAAUUUCAAAAUCGAGGGUUUGGUUUCAUUUUUCACUUUGGGAAUUUGAGAGCUCGGAUUUAGGUGAGAUUUUGAGGGAUUUUCAGAAAAAUAUUUGGGUAAAGAUUCUUGACUCGCUUUUUAUUAGUUCCUAUUAAUCUAUCUUUGAUUUCUUCAUCUAAUUAAGGAUUUCGGUUUAAAAAAUUUGGGAAAAAAAGUGUAAAAGUUCGUAGACCAAAUAUUUGGGUUUCGAAAGGCUAAAUGAGCUCGGAUUUGGAUAAUUCUUGUAUGUUGGACUCGAUAUCAAAUGGUUGUUCAGAUUUUAUAAUUUUUGUUGGGUCUCGAGACGCGGUCCCAGGUUGACUUAUUAGGACGAUUUUUUCAAUUCUUGCUAAAAUUAUAAUUUAUUAUUUAGAUUAGUUUCCUAUAGUUAUAUUAUAGUAUGUAAUUAUUUUUGGAAAGAAUUGAGUUUUUCGGAAUUGGAAAUUCGAGGGAAUCUUAUUGAUUGAUUGAGUGUGGUUCGAGGUACGUGACUUGUAUAACCUUGUGUGGGGAAAAUUCUCCUUUGAAUUUGGUAAUGUUACGGUACUUUGCUAUAUGUGAAGGCCGUAUAGGUAAGGUGACGAGUGCGUAUACAGGCUAAGUGUUGGAAUUCCGGUUUUUGCUAAGUAGUUUCCUUUAUAGGCCUUAACUGAGUUACUUUAGCACAUGCAGUCAUCAUGUUUAGGCUAAUUUCACAUGUCUACUUGUCUUGUCUCUUAGUUGCAACUUGUUUUACAUGCUUAGUUGAAUUAGCUACUUUUUUUGAUUUCAUAUUCAUUAUUUAACUGCGUGAUUAUUUACUUCAAAUUGAUAUCCUUGAAAUGUCAUUGUUUCAAUUGUUAUGUUUUGGUUUAUGUGAUUAUUGUUGAGAUGAUUGUUUGGUUGUUGCACGAAGUUUUUUCCGUGUGGGUUGUUAUUGGAGCACGAGAUUUCUGUCGUGCGGAUUGUUAUUAUGGCACGAGGUUUCUGUCGUGCGGGUUGUUAUUGUGGCACGAGGUUUAUGUCAUGCGGAUUGUUAUUGUUUGCACGAGAUUUCUGCCGUUCCGUUGUGAGUAUAGAUAUGCAUGGGUGGUAUAUGAGAUGACUGUGAGAUAUUUACUUUUGGGGCUAGGAGGCGGUUCCUCGUGAGUGCUCCUGUUGAAUUUUCCUUUAUUUAUUGUUUUUUGUUGUUGUUGUUUUCUUAACUUGUAAGAUUCCUGCUUCUUUUCAUGUUGUAGUUGUUUUUCUUUAUACCGUACUAUUGCCUUCCGUGAAUUCUUAUUUCACUUCCCUUUCUUCUUAUUAUAUUUUCUAUCUUGUCUCUUAUUAUUUUUUAGUAGGCUCCUAACCUGACUUCGUCACUAUGCUAUCGAGGUUAGGCUUGACUCUUAUUAAGUAUUAUUAUAGUGUACUCAUAGUACGCUUAUGUACAUCUUUUUGUGCAGAUCCGGUACCUCCUACCAGUCCAGGCACUAGUGAGGCGAGCUUAUUUCGGAGAUUUCAAGGUAUACCUGCCAGCGUACGCAUGCCCGGAGUCCCCUUCUUUCCCGUUCUUUUUCUUAUUUUUUUAACCUUAGACAAUAAUGUAUAGGAACGUUCCACAUUGUAUCUAGUGCUUGUGUCUUGUUUUUCAACGAGUUUUGGAUUUGUUCAUGAUGAGCUACAAUCUUCAUUUAUACAGCUAUUGAUUUUGACAUUUAAGUUAUUAUGUCAGUUAUUGUAUAUAUUUAUUAGGCUUACCUAGUGUUAAAAAUUAGGUACUGUCACGAUAUCAUAUAAAAGAAAACUUGGAUCGUAACAGUAUAAUUUGACAUUUAUAAAAGCUUGAUAUGUGUACAUUUUUUGUAAAACAAAAGCUAGAUUUGAGAGAUUUUUUUAAUUAAAAAAAAGGCCUACUAGACAUCCAUAAUAGCACAGAUUUCCAGAAGAUAUGGAGAAGUGAAGAAACAGAAACGGUAAAUUUGAACCCUUUCUUCUCUAUUUGAUUAAAAAGAAAAUUCAUUUUCUUUCAUCCAAAUUCCUUUAGUAUUUAUUGAAACAUAUAAAUUUAGUGAACGUAGACAACUCAAGAGACAUAACCAUUAAAUGUUUAAUCCUAAACAUUAGGAAAAUGAAUGGAAAAAAGUUUUAAAUAUUAGGGAAAUAAUUAAUUUAUUUCUAAAUAUAUAGAAAAGAAUUAAAUAAUUAUUUGUCUAAUGUGAAAUCUAUUUUUAAAGGAUAAAUAAAGCAAACGGCAUUUUGCUAAAGGUUUUCGUGUUUUUUAUAAAUAAACAGAUAGUAGAAAAAUAUAAAAAAUAAAAAAGACAAAACAUAAAAUAAAUUCUAUCCAAAACCACAAAACUAAUACUCUCUCCGUCCACUUUAAGUGUUUUUGUAGUUAUUUUCAUACAUAUUAAGGAAUUUGCCAUUUAACAUUAAUUAAUAAUAAAAUUGACCAUAUUAACAUUAAUUUGCUCAUUAGAAAUAUAACAAAUAUUCCUACGCUCGUAACUUUGAAAAGAAAAAGUUAAUUCUUUAAAUAUUUAGAAAAAUCAAAUAUUAUGGAUAACAAAAAAAGAAAAACUAAAAAAUUAGUUAAAGUGAAUGAAGGAGUUGUAACAUGCAUCGGAGUAUAUAUUCAAGAAGCAGAAAAGAAUUCAAAUGUGCAAAAAAUGUUCGACUUAUUUGAGCUCCUCUAAAAAAUGACCUCUUUUUAAGGAAAAGUCAAUUUACUACGUCGAUCAACUGAUGGAAAAUAGUAGUAUGCAAAUGAGGUGAAGGAAUCAAGACUUAAAUUGCUCGCUGCUAAUUUUACAUUGCAUGGGGUAACAAACACCAUUGUCUCUAACUAUGAUGGGAGAGAGGUUAGAACCAAACUAAUUUGCAAUCUUCCAUUUAGAACUUGCUGAUUUUUGUUUUUAUAUUUAUAUUUAAUUAAGUGAUAGGUUUUUUUUUUGUAAUUAAGAUUUUAUUAAUCACCAAAGAUUUUGCGUUACAAUGUCAUAGUCCAGCUUAUACUCAGCUGACUAUCUAAUCUAAUCCAGAAAACUACUUACCCGUAUUAGAAAACUAACUACUCAUAUACUAUAACUUGAAUUGAUGCAUCUGCUUUCUAGUUCUAGGAGUACCUCUAACAUUACAUAUAUAAGCUAGUUCCCUUACUAAGACUUCACUGUUACGAAAAGUAUUCUCAAAUAUACGUGAAUUCCUUUCCAGCCAUAAAGCAUAUGAUACUUCAGCAAUCACCAUUUUGAAUAUAUUGGCUCUACAGGAUUUCCCCUUAGCUUUACUGAUGAACCACUGGAGUUUUCCCAAGUAUAUGUCUUUGGAUGAUUCUCUUGAAUCCAAUGCAUUGCUUGCUCCCAUAACUCAGUUGAAAAAAAGACAAGAUAGAAAUAGAUGAUCUCUUGUCUCAAUAUGACUAUGGCAUAAAACACAUUGUUGGUUUAUAUUCAGUCCCCAGUUUGCUAAUCUGUCCUUGGUUGGUAAUCUGCCAUGUAACACUAGCCAGAAAUUGAACACAGCUUUAGGUCUAGCAUAAUUCUGGAUGAUUAGGUUCUUCCAUGGGACUCUCGGAAGAUCUCCUAACCGCAAAAGAUAUAACAUUCUGAUAGAGCAGUCAUGCCACCUCCAGCCUUGAAAUUUCUGAAGGAUAUCUCGGGAUGCUAUUACUCUCCUGACCAUCCAACUUGUAUCUCCUAACUGCAAGAGAUAUAACUGUCUGAUAGAGUAGUCAUGCCACCUCCAGCCUUGAAAUUUCUACAGGAUAUCUCGGGAUGCUAUUACUCUCCUGACCAUCCAACUUGCCUGCAUAGGGAUUGGCAUUGUCUCUACCUGAUGAUGUUUAACAUAGUAAGCAUUUAUCCACCUUAUCCACAAUAUGUCUUUCUUGUGAGCUAGAUCCCAGCAAAUCUUUGCAAUUGCAGCCUUGUUCCAUAGCAAAAGAUUGAUAAGGUUCAUUCCACCAGCUGAUUUAGGAGUACACAUUCUGUCCCAAGAUACAUAAGCUUUUUUAGUAACUUUGCAAUUGCAGCCUUAUUCCACAGCAAAAGAUUGAUAAGAUUCAUUCCACCAGCUAAUUUAGGAGUACACAUUCUGUCCCAAGAUACAUAAGCUUUUUUAGUAAUGGAAUUUGAUCCAGACCAAACAAAGCUUCUACAUAUUGCUUCAAUCAUCUUCAUUACUUUAGCUGGAAUGAUGAACAGUUGAGCCCAAUAUGCUUGAAUGUCAAAUAUCACUGAUUGUACUAAUUACAGCCUCCCGGUAUAGGAUAAUUUUGUGGCAGUCCAUGAAGUGAUCUUAGCAGUAAUCUUCUCCACUAAAGGUUUUCAUUGAAUCAAGGCAAUCUUUUUGGUGGACAGAGGAAUACCUAGGUAUUUGAAUGGCAAUUCUCCAUGAGCAAAACCAAGGUGAUCAGUAAUCUGCCUCUGCACAUCCUAUGUAACUCCCCCAAAAUACACUGAGCUUUUGCCCAGAUUAGCCUGCAAUCCUGAAGCUUCAGANNNNNNNNNNNNNNNNNNNNNNNNNNNNNNNNNNNNNNNNNNNNNNNNNNNNNNNNNNNNNNNNNNNNNNNNNGAAGCUUCAAGGAAUUGAGAGAAGUAUUGGAACAUGGCUAUGAUAGAAUCAAGGUCUCCUUUAGCAAACAGUAGCAAGUCAUCAGCAAAGCUCAUGUGAGUAAUACCUAGUUUUUUACAUCUAGGAUGGUAUUGAAAAGUUGGCUCUUUCCUUCGCACAGCAAGUGAUCUACUAAGGUACUCCAUUACUAUAGCAAAUAGGAAGGGGGAAAUUGGAUCCCCUUGUUUGAGUCCUCUAGCAGCUUCAAAUGGUUAUGUUGCUUCUCCAUUAACUAGCACUGAGAAACUCACUAUUUUUAUACAUUCAAUAAUCCAGUUAGUGAAUCUGGUUGGAAAGCCAAUCCCCUCCAUCACUUGUUGUAGGAAAAUCCACGCUAAUUGGUUAAUUUGGCUAAUAUUAAUAAUAUUUUAUCAAUUGACCAAUUUUUGUAAUAGGCUACUUAUAAAUGGACAUAGCUGGUAAUUUCCCUUUAAUAUUUGGAUUAAGAAAUCCAAUAAAUAUAUAUAAAUUAUUAAUUUAGAACCAGUAACUUAAAACGAUUAUAAAUUUAAACUCAUAAAGUUUAAAUUCUAGUCGCCUAUGAGGUAAGAUUAAUUACACAAAUGAUGUUGGGCGUGAUUUUUUGUAGUCUAUUGGCCAGCAUUUUAGAUAUCAUUUUGUAAAGGACUGAGCAACAUGCAAUGGGUCUAUACUCUUUAACUGUGNNNNNNNNNNNNNNNNNNNNNNNNNNNNNNNNNNNNNNNNNNNNNNNNNNNNNNNNNNNNNNNNNNNNNNNNNNNNNNNNNNNNNNNNNNNNNNNNUUUUACUGUGGUAGGAUUGGAAACUUUGGGGAUUAAGGUAAUAGUGGCACAAUUUAUUGGCUUGUACAUCUUGGUUGUUAAAAAGAACUCCUUGAUGGCACUUAUGACUUUCCUACUAAUAGUGUUCCAAAACUUCUUGAAAAAUACAGCAUGGUAACCAUCUAUUCCUGGGGCUUUAUCAUCUCCAAUUGCUUUUAGACUCUCCACUAUUUCAAGGUUAGUGAUAUCACCACAUAACUCCCUUCUCUGUUGUUGUGUUAGCAUUGGACCAUUAGUCAUACAUAUUCUGUUUAUGACUGGAAGAGAUGCAGCUAUUGAUCCCAUUAGUGCCUUGUAGAAUCUAAUGAUCUCCCUUUUUAUGUCUGCAAGUGUAUUUACUUUAUCUCCCAUUGCAGUUGUGAGUUCUGUGAUCUGCUUACUUUGUGAUCUUUCUUUCAGAAUUGCAGUAAAGUACUUGGUAUUAGAAUCUCCAAGUUGUAUCCAUUUUGCUCUAGUCUUCUGCUGUAAUUCACUUUCUUCAAUCAGUGACAACCUUUCCAGCUUCAAUACUAUCACUUUCUCUUUCUGCUUCAACUCAUCAGAAUAUGCCUUUAUCAUUUGCUCCUGCACUUCUUUCAGUUCCUGUCUGAUAAGCUCUAUCCUCUGAGUAAUGCUUUUGAACUCCUUAACAUUUAAGGCAUUUAAAAGGCCUUUCAAUGUUUUGAGUUUACCCCAUACUGCUUUCAUAGUUCCAAAAUUGUUACAGUUCCAGACAUUUGCCACAAUCUGAUGAAACUCCUCAUGCUCAGUCCAUACAUUGAAAAAUUUGAAAGGUAUCUUACCUUUCCAAGAAGAAGAUGCUAGUGUCACUAUCAUAGGAUUAUGGUCAGAGAUUAGUGGUUGACCAUAUACUGUUUCCACAUGGCUCCAUUUGAUCAUCCACUCAAAGUUUCCAAAAACUCUAUCCAGUCUGCUACAUACUCUAGCCACUCCAGGCUGUUUGUUUGUCCAGGUAUAAUAAUCACCCUUCCAAGGUAGCUCUGACAGUCCUGCUUUCUGUAUACAUUGGCUAAACUCUUGGAUCUCAGAAUAUUUAACAUGAUUACAUGAUUGUCUAUCCUUGGCAUAUAAGACAGUAUUGAAAUCCCCAGCAAUUAACCAUGCAUCUUUUAUAUUUGAUGAAUAGACUUGUAAAUUCCUCCAUAAAGAUCUUCUUUGCUCCAGUCCAUUGUACCCAUACACCACAGUGAGGUAAAAAGUAACAUCCCCUGUUAUGCUUCUGACCUUGCAAUGUAUCAGUUGAGCUUCCUCCUGAAUACCAGCAACUUGAAACAUAUUUGAAUCCCAUAAAAUCCACACUCUACCAUUUUCAGCAUCAUUAUAAUUUGUUAGAACACCCUAUCUAGGAACCACCAGAUUAGCAAUUCUACUAGCAUUUAUUUUUUUACCUUAGUUUCUACCAAACCAACAAGGCUUAUUUUAUUUCUCCUAAUAUACUCCCUAACUUCCUUUUGUUUGUAUCUUUUAUUUACACCUCUGAUAUUCCAGAAUAACCACUUCAUUGAUAAUUGCUUAGUCCCCCUAUCACCUGGUGGAACCUCAUGCUUACUAUUGGAAACUGCUUCAAAUCUAUUAUUAAUAGUAAUGGGAGACAGAGGUGGAAAAUUGAUGAAGUUGAAUUCUGGACUCUGCACUUGCUUCCCUUUCUCUAUCUACUUUUCUUUAUCUGUUAUCAGAUUUGGAGGUUCAUUGGCUCAUUAUGAACUUCAUUUGCAACAAUCUGUUGUACUAUUGCCUCUUUUUGAAUGGGGACAGUUGGACUGAGCCUUGGUUCUCCAUUCCUGCACUACUUUUGCCUUCUUCACUUGGCUAGGCUGGUGUGUAUUUGCCUUCAUUUGGAUUGAGCAGCUAUGACCAAUAGUUUGAAACUUUUCACAGUAUGAAGGUUUCAAGUCAUAGACUACAUCUUGUAAGAAUCUCUUCCCAUUUGGCUCCAUCGCCCAUAUUUCUCUUGGUAACUCUUUAAUGACAUUAAUCUCUAUAAGCAUUCGAGCAUAAGAUACUCUAGUUUGCUUGGUUGUACAUUCAUCCGCAAAUAUAGGCUUUCCUAAGACACUUGCAAUCCUUCUUAAUGAUCUCAUUCCCCAACAAGACAUUGGAAGCUUUAGAAACUUCACCCAUAGAGGAAUAUCAGUAGGGAAUUCCUCCGUGAAAUCAAAAUCUGGAGUCCAUUGUUUAAGGAUCAUAGGUCUGUUGGCAAUUGAAUAAGGCCCUGCACAAAGAAUUUCCUUAGCACCUUCAAUUGUUCUGAAUUUAACUAUGUAAUAACCUUCCUCAUGGUAAUACAAAUCUAGCUCUGGAACAUGUGACCAGUGAAGAUUAAUGAACCUCUUCAUCGCAUUGAAACCAGGUCCAUCCCCUAAUAUAUAUACAAUUAAAGCACAUUUCCACUUUAUCUCUUCCUCUUCUACCUCUAAUUUGUUCAAUUGCACUAUUGGUUGUCCAUCAAUCAUUACAGGAGGUAUGUAAUCUAAAGCAAUACCAUUUGUUGCAAACCUAUUUUUCUGAAAUAAGGUAGACCAAAUCUUUUUGGGUUCCUCAGUUCUGUUACGAAUGGUCUCUGAAUUCUCAUUUACUUCCACCACUGGUUGGACCUGGGUCUGUAUUGACUUCUGCAUGGAUACUAUUCCGGUGGUUGCCUUCUUCGUUAGAUCUAAAUCAGUUCCAAUCGGAGCUGGUGAAGCCAGAUCCAGCUUCUUUGAGACUACGGACUAGUUCGAUGUCGACCCACUUGAAACUCUCUCCUCUACAACUGGUGAAUCGAAGUGCUGCACACGAGGGGUCAUAGCUACUACUUUCUCCAACGCUGGUUGCUUGAUUGUUGUUAUCAGUUUCUCAAUUGUUGCUAGUGGUAUCUUACGGGGCCUUCCUCUACCUCUGCCUCUCCCUCUCGCCAUUAUCACAGACUCGGCGUACGUUUAACUAACGUGCGCUAAAACGAAGAAGCAGAGUCUUGUCUGAGAUAAACACUAUGCGUUUGUUGUUAUAGUUGAGUCCCUCCCUCUCGCCAUUGUUACAGACUCGGCGUACGUUUAUCUAACGUGCGCCGAGAGAUGAGGUGAUAGGUUGAAAGGUAGUUAUGAGUUUCUCCUAGGUUUAUCGGUACUAUUUUUGUAGUGCUAAUAUUAUUCUUUUAUUCUUGGUUUUUUUGUUACUUGUUAUGUCACUCGCUUCCAUUAUCUUAAUAUAUUACUGCCAUUGUUGUUUGUUGCUUAAUUUUUAUUGUUUCUUAAGUCAAGAUGUAUCAAAAAUAGUUUUAAUGCCUUUACAAGGUAGGGGUAAGCAAGGGCUGAGCCAUAUUGCUAUUUGUAGGUUCGGCCAAACCCAGAAGCUUUUGCUCAAAUUUUGUAUUUAAUAUUGGAAAAUUUACACAAAUGUCCCAAAUAAAUCUUAACUUACCAACCUCUAGCCAUUAGUCAUAGACUUACCAAAACUAGCCAACAAAAAUUGAAAAACUAAAUAAUAGGUCUCUUUCUAUCAAAGAAUUGCAUGCAAAAAUCACCUUCCAUAUUUUUAAGCGUGAUUAGUCACAUUAGAUACACGAUGGAAAGGAAAUUUCAUAGACGGGGUAGCAAAUAAGGUGAUGAAAUACAAAAAUCUAUACAAUAUUCCAAAAAUCUAAAUAAAAAUGAAAAUUUUUCAAUAGGUAUAGAUGCAAUUCAUUCAAAAUAUAUAGAUAAGUCAAUAUACAAAAUUUGAGGAAUAUUGGAGGUGAUUUCGACUGGUUUUGUGUCAAAGUUCGUAAUUAAAUCGAGUUCGAAAAAGUCCUCUACGACACAUAUAUCAAACAUGUAUCAGACAUGUAUCUCGCACACAAGUAUACAUGGAUAUACAUGUAAUAUACAAUUAAUACAUGUGUGAUAUACAUAUCAUUUUUUUCAUGUUCAGCUUUUACUUCGAAUUUUCAAUUCAAACCACCUCAAACUUUACCAAAUCAUCCCAAAAUUGAUAUUCAAACUCCUUAAGUUGUGCUCAAUCUAUUCUAAUAACACUCAUUCAAAAUAAAGCAAAAAUUUUAUAUGUUUUGCUACAAAUAGCUAAUUGGUUAAUUUGGCUAAUAUUAAUAAUAUUUUAUCAAUUGACCAAUUUUUGUAAUAGGCUACUUAUAAAUGGACAUAGCUGGUAAUUUCCCUUUAAUAUUUGGAUUAAGAAAUCCAAUAAAUAUAUAUAAAUUAUUAAUUUAGAACCAGUAACUUAAAACGAUUAUAAAUUUAAACUCAUAAAGUUUAAAUUCUAGUCGCCUAUGAGGUAAGAUUACGUACACGUACUCUCCUAAUAAUUUAGGUAUGAGAUUAAACUAAGUUUGUUGUUUUUGUUCUUGACCAACUAAGUUACCAAUUCACAAAAAGAAAAACUUAUCAAUUGGAAAAUUUUACUACAUGGAGUACUCGAUCAUUACCUAAUAUUUUUAUAUCAAUUAACAAUAUUUUCUUUUUUAUAUUCAACAAUUUGGAUGCGCCAUUCACGGAACUUUAUAAAUACACCUAUUUACCAUUUUUUUCUCAAUCACCUUCACACGGAACCUCUUUCCCAUAUCUCGCAAAACCCUAAACUCACAUCUCCCUCUUCCUAAACCUCUCCAUCCAUCCAAUUUUCACCAACCAAUUAACCCAAUUGAUCGUUCCGUUUCCUCGAUUCGACCAAUUUUCACCUACCCAUUAGUCCUAAAAGUUCAAUCUUUAUCCUCAAUUCCACCAAAAAUUCAAUCGUUUCCUCAAUUCCACCAAUUUCUCACCGACCCAUUAGCCCAAAGAUUCGAUCUUUUCCUUCAUUUUCAUCACAAAUUCAAUCUUUUUCCUCAAUUGUACCGAUUAUUUUACCGACCCGUUAAACCCCCAAAAAUUCGAUCUUUUUCACCAUAUGGGUACAUUUAGGGUUCCAUCGGAACCUUCAAAAUCCCCAAAUUCAUCAUCAUCGCAACCCACAACCACUACAUCGACAUCUCGAAUCGAGACGAUUAAUGGGUCUCACGAAUUCAAGGUAGAAGGUUACUCAUUAUCUAAAGGUAUGGGAAUUGGGAAAUAUGUAACUUCUGAGAUUUUUACCGUGGGUGGUCAUUCUUGGGCUGUUUACUUUUACCCUGAUGGUAAAAGUGCCGAGGAUAAUGGUGCUUAUGUCUCGCUUUUUAUCGCGUUGGCUAGUGAUGCAACUGAUGUUAGAGCUUUGUUUGAGCUGUCUCUUAUGGAUCAGAGUGGUAAUGAGAGGCAUAAGGUUCAUACCCACUUUGGUCGCGUGCUUGAGACGGGUCCUUACACACUAAAAUAUCGUGGUAGCAUGUGGUAAUAUUCUUUUGCACAUCUGUACUUUUUACUGUAUUGUAUAAUAAUGGCGUGCAAUGAGUUUAAAUGGAGUAACAUGGUUAGUGAGCAUUCAUAUAGCCGACCCCCAACUAGUUGGGACUGAGGAGUAAUUGUUGUUUAUUUGUACUUCUUAUUGUAUGAUAUUGGAAUGGGAUAACACGGUUCAUACAGCCGACCCCAACUUGUUUGGACUGAGGAGUAGUUGUUGUUGUUUAUUUGUACUUCUUAUUGUAUAAUAUUGGCAUGCAGUAGCAUUGCCAGUGAGCAUCAUAUAGCCAAACCCAGCUUAGUUGUUUGAUAAAACUGAGGCGUAGUUGUUGUGGUGGUUGUUUAUCUAUACUUUUUAUUAAUUGUAGUUGAUUUUUGUUUUUACUAUCAGGGGUUAGUAUAUACUUGCAUUUGGUUUAUGUUGUAGGCAGUAUGUCAUAUGUAGGGAUAAGUCUAAUCAUUAGUGCUGGAAUGAAGCAGGUCCGCUAAAGUAGACUGUAUAUAGGAUGCAGAAGCCACAAGUACUUCUGGCUUGAGGAAUAGCUGACUUAUUGAUUAAUAUGGGUUAUUUCUAGUCCUCGAAUAGUUUGAUCGGGAAAGUAUUUUUAUAGGUUAGUGUGAAUAGGUUAGGGUUUAAUAAAAUUGUAAGAAGGGGCGCAACUGGGUUUUUCUCUAAUGGGUUGGGAAAGUCUUUUUAUGGGUUAGUGUGAAUAGGUUAGGGUUUAAUAAAAUUGUAAGAAGGGGCGCAGCUGGGUUUUUCUCUAAUGGUGUUCAAGCUAUGAAGAAGUAAGCAUGGUGAGCUAACUUGACCAGCUGCGGCCGGGUUUCAUUGCGGAAGCUUGAACUCGCUUGACUCUUACUCUAAAGACAUUCCAGAUGUAAUUUACCUGUAUGACAAUGAAAGCUUAUGACAUCACUUUGACUUAAGUUACCUGAAUGACAAUGAAAGCUUCUGACAUCACUUUGACUUAAGGUGGAUACCACCAAUGAUGGCAAGGGGUUGGUGGUCUAGAAACAUCUUUUGUUGGUACAUCAUGGGCUGUGUUGGUAUAUGUACAUGUUUGGAAUUAUGUAAAUUUAGUGCUGAAGUGCCUAAGCCAAAGUUGGACAUUGUGAGCUAGUAGUUGGUAAAAUAAAGUGCGUUCAAAAUUUAUAACAUUGGGGAGAAUGAAAAGCUUCCUUUUGUGUCACUUAAAUUUUUGAUGUAAAAAUUAUUCCAUAUUGUAAAUAGUUGGAUGAAUCUUUUUGAGUUCAUAUGUUAUCCAUACUCUGGUACAAUAAAAAGGAUUUGGUGCUAUAUUGAUUUAAUCCCUUUGCUCAUGAAAAAGUUGGUCUAAUUCUUGUUGUAACAUGCUAUGACUUUGGUCCUUUAUUUGCAGCUAUCUGCUUGCCUUUCGCGUUUAACCACUAAUCCGGCCUGUUUUGGCUCGUGUUGUAUAACUAGCUUCCCUCCUUGCAGUAUAAGUGGUCUAUUGAUUUUAAUACUAUUGCAUUGAAGAUCGCUUUUCAGUGUAACCCCGAUAAUUCCAAAUUGGGUGCUAUUGGGCAGGGUAUAUAUGACCCCAUGAUGCACAAAUAAACGAUGAAUGACUAGUAGGUGUUGGGACAUGUUAACUCCAUUAGGCUUAUUCCAUAACGAUUCUUUUGAUUCUAGUACUUAGCAAAAGAAAAGGUGAUGGCAUUAUAGGUUCUUUCCCAUCGUUCAUUUUAAAUCUGGAUGUGCUCAAAUUCUGUUCUCCUUUAUGCGGCAAAGGGGAAUCUCCUUUAAGCAGAAGUAAUGAGUGUUGACGUACAACUACGGUGAAGGUGAGCUUUUUCUUGUUUAUAGGUAAGUAGUUAUAAUUUACCAGCAUCAACCACCUAAUAUGUGAUGCAGAACUUGCAUUUUGGAGGAUGCAACCUUUGCAUAGCCAUAGUAUGAUCAAGUACACAAACGUGUGAGAUAUACCUCGAAGAAGUAUCAUGUCAUGUCAAGGAGUCCAGAGAAACCUGAAGGAUGAGUCUCGUAUUCAGAGAUCUCCACUACAGAAACUAAGUUUAACAUAACAAUCAGAGUUAGUCUUUUGUUCAUUGUUAUGGUUGUUUGCAUGUUUCCAACCUCUUUAGCUCUCCCUCCAAUCUAGAAGUCUUCCUUUCUGGCAAUUUCAAUGGAGAACUUUCUCCAGAAGCUUUGCAUUUAGAAUGUAGCAUUGAUACAGAUCCCUGUUACCUAGUGUUCCUCGUGUGAUUCUAGGUGGCAUGUGUAUGCUCUCUUUGCAUUUAAAAUGUAGCAUUGAUACAGAUCCCUGUUACAUAGUUUUCCUCGUGUGAUUCUAGGUGGCAUGUGUAUGCUCCUGCACUCCUGACAUUCCAUUCCAUUGUUUCAGAUGUUGAUAUUUUUUAUUUGUUUCUUCUGAUUACUGUCCAUUCAUUAUAUAUUUUUGCUCCUCUGACAUCCAAUGGUGUCUUCCACUUUUGUCCAAAACCUGUUACCUUGUAUUUUCAUCGUCUCUUGCUGCUUCACGAGUUGGACUUCCUAGCUUCUGCGACCUCAAUUAUUAGGACCAACCUUGAAAUUACAUUGUCCAGUAGUCAUCCUUAACGUAGUUUUCGCCUAUCAAAAAGUAAAAAGUGAGCAUCAUCCUUAGGGUUAUUAUUGCAUGCGACUGUAUUUAUGUUUCUUAUGUUUGCAUAAUUAUUUACGUUAUUUCUNNNNNNNNNNNNNNNNNNNNNNNNNNNNNNNNNNNNNNNNNNNNNNNNNNNNNNNNNNNNNNNNNNNNNNNNNNNNNNNNNNNNNNNNNNNNNNNNNNNNNNNNNNNNNNNNNNNNNNNNNNNNNNNNNNNNNNNNNNNNNNNNNNNNNNNNNNNNNNNNNNNNNNNNNNNNNNNNNNNNNNNNNNNNNGUAGGGGUAAGGCUCGUCUACAUAAUACCCUCCCCAGACCCCACCUGGUGGGAGUAUACUGGGUAGUUGUUGUUGUUGUUGUUGUUGUUGACUUUGACUGUGCACCUGAAAAAAGUUGUAGGAAGAACAUUCGCUAUUGAAAGAUAUGUAUGAAGGAAGAACUUUCUCGUAGCAGAACUGAACUUCUUUUUGGAGUAGCAAAAUCUAUAGUAGGGAUAUUUAAAGAAAUUUUAUUAUUAGCUUACUGUCUAUUUUCCUUUUUAGGAAUUUAGUUCUUUUGUACAUGUACUCUUUUUUUGCUUUUUCUUCCAUCAAUGCAUCUAUUGACCUAUUCCAGUUUUAUGGUUGUCUUUGUAGGGGAUAUAAACGCUUUUUCAGGAGAACAUUAUUAGAAACAUCAGACUAUCUGAAAGAUGAUUGUCUCUUGGUCCAGUGCACUGUUGGUGUUGUCAGAUCAUACAAUGAAACACCAAAGACUUACUCCCUGCCUGUGCCACCAUCAGAUAUUGGAAUUCAUUUUGGGCAGCUCCUAGAGAGUGGAGAGGGAGCAGAUAUAAAGUUUGAAGUUGAAGGUGAAGUUUUUGCUGCACACAAGUUGGUUCUUGCUGCCCGCUCCCCUGUGUUCAGGGCACAACUCUUUGGUCCAUUGAAGGAAGAUAAUGUACAAAGUCUUAAACGCUCCCCUGUGUUCAGGGCACAACUCUUUGGUCCAUUGAAGGAAGAUAAUGUACAAAGUAUUAAAGUUGAAGAAAUUCAGGCUCCAGUAUUCAAGGUUUGAAACCUUCUUUCUUUCACAUGUCUCUUGAUCCUUAUUCUGUUGUAUUAUUCUUUAUGAAGGGAGGAAUUUUGCCCAUGAAUUCUCGAAGUUAUUGCAAGUGUUGUGUGUUCCAAUUUAAAAAUGAAAAAAAUGACAGUAAAUAUACAUGACAUGGCUAUACAACUAGUAGCUAUUCUAUUUUUAUUUUUUUUGCUUCACGAUUUGAUGGCUUCUGUGCUGAUGGAGUCACAUGUACCUUAUUGUUGUCACCUGCCUUCCUGAGCCAUAUAUGUUGCUAUUGCUACCAUAUGCAGGGUUACUUUUUAUCAGCAGAACAUUUGGAGAUUGUAUGUGCACAACUAUUUAAUCUCCUAUUUUGGUGAAACUAUGUAUUAGCAUAUGAUGUGUGUUGUUUGCUUAUAUUGGUGCUGAAAUUUGGAUUUUGGCUCAAUAAAGAUUUUCACUAGAGGGGUUCUUCUGAUGGUAAGCAAUCCUCACUUCCAACCGAGAGGUUAUGAGUUCGAGUCUCCCCAAGAGCAAGGCGGGAAGUUCCCUAAGCAGUGGCCAACAAGCGAUUAGAGUCUUCUGUAUUCCACUACUGCUUUGGAAAAGCUAUCAAAAAUGUGUUAUGGUCUUUGACAUGCAUUAUUAUGUGAUCAAAUUAGUAUUUAGAUGUUAGAUUUUGCCAAUCUGCUUAUAAAAAGUACUGGUGAAUGUUUUUGUCCCCUUUUAUUUAUAACUUCAACAAGGUCUCUCUAGGAGGAUUUUACUAUCAUGAUUCGUUGUGAAAUAAUUAUGGGAAGUUGCACAAGGCAAAGGACAAAAACCUCUCUACCUUCACAAAGAUAGGGGUAAGGUGUGCGUACAUACUACCUUCCCCAGACUCCACUUGUGGGGUUCUCACUGUUUUUGUUGUUGCACAAUGCAAAGGACAAAAUGAUGAUGAUGUACUCGGUUACCUUUCUCAAAAAAAUAUUGAAAAUAUUGUAUCAGGGAAACUAUGGGUCAUAUCAUACAUGCAAGAUGGAAUCACAUACUACUAUGCUUACGAAGUUGUUGCAGUUGGUAGCAUGUGCCUUAUGGAGAUGUCAGUUAAAGGGGAGGAGAGUAAACUGUAGUACGAUGAGCUGAAAUCCUAUGUUGAUUAUAGUUUGCGGUCUUGAUUUUUAUGUUUAAUGGGGUUUAUGUGAUGGGGGUGGGGUUAAAUUUUCUGGAGCUACUAAUUGCGGGAGUAGUUUGAAGCAAAAAGUACCAACCUUUUUUCCGAUUUAAGGGCAAAGCGGAGUUAAAAAGCAUGGGCUUUAACAAAGAAAGGUGUUAAAAAGUAGAAAAAACAAAAAACAAAAAACAAAAAAAAAAUGUAAUGCAGAGGAAAAUGAACUGCAAAUGCUACAGUAACUAUUUGGACUAAAAAAUCGAAGUAACUAUAAUUAAGUAAACUCUAUGAAGUAAAAUCAUCCGAAUCAAGUCCAGAAACUAUUUUAAAUUUCUGAUUUAGAUGAGAAGAUGCAAUUUUAUGUUUUUGGAGCUAGUUUUUGAAUAUUUUAAUUUAAUCUUUAAUUCUUGAUGAGUAAAAUUCUUUCAUAUUGUUUUUAAAAAUUAACACAUCGCUUUACCAACUAUAUUUAUUGUCUAGUACUGCCUUCUUAAAGAUAGCCCAUAGGUUACGAGGCACGUAACAUAACACCUUAGUGUCUAUAUGGAGACGCCAGCUAGUGAAGCGAAGCAUGUAGCCUGGCUUUAACUUUGCUUUAUGGCUUUCUGUGUGCCUCAAACAAGCCAUUGACACCACUACCUUUAGGUUUAUUAGGAUGAAAGAACAAGACUUGACCUUCUCAUCAAUCCUCUUCUUCUUGUAGUUCUUUUUUUGUUCUCAUGGAAUUACAUGUAUAGUAUCACCUAAGGGUGUGGCCUAGUAGACAAUUAAGCGGGUGUGAACCUUGGAGAUCAGGGCUCAAAUCGCAGCAAAGGCUCAUCUUUGCAUUUGCCUAAACUUGUUGCAUAGUUAAAUAAUACAUGUGAUGGUGAAAGGUAGCAUGCAAUCACUAGAAUAGUCAAGGUGUGCAAAUUGGUGUAGAUACUACUAUUAAAAGAAAAAAUACAUGUAAAGCAAGUAGUGGCAAGAAGCAAUAGCGUUGUUCCAUACUAGCAGCAGUGAUGUUAGAGCCAUGAAUUAGCAGAACUGGUGGGGAAAGGUUGCGUUAUUAUAUGAGCUAAGCUUGAACUCAAUUUUGGCUGAACACGUUGAGGGGGCUGCUUGUGUUGCUCGAGCUUCUUCUGUGCUCACGAAAUAAAAAAAAUCCUUACGAUUAAUAUUAUGUGAGAAUUGGGGGGGNNNNNNNNNNNNNNNNNNNNNNNNNNNNNNNNNNNNNNNNNNNNNNNNNNNNNNNNNNNNNNNNNNNNNNNNNNNNNNNNNNNNNNNNNNNNNNNNNNNNNNNNNNNNNNNNNNNNNNNNNNNNNNNNNNNNNNNNNNNNNNNNNNNNNNNNNNNNNNNNNNNNNNNNNNNNNNNGGGGUACAUUGUUUCACUAAGCCAAAUGAGUUCAAGCUCAAGAUUGCUUCGGAGCUUAGUGGUAUUUGAGGUGAGCUUGGCUUGCAAUAAUGGAGUUGAGCUCAAAAUCAGAACACCUAAGUUACCGAAGGGCCCGAGGGGUUGUUGUGCGUCUCCUCUGUUAUAUUUCCUAAUGUUUCUAUGUUGGUUAUGGUGUUUUUGGCUCUAGUAAUCUGGCUUUGCAAAAUGUUUGCAUAUUGUUUUUCCUGCCUAGAGUCCAGCAGGCUUAUUGCUUUUCUCUUUGUAUGCUCCCUAUGCUUUGCUUUUAUUGUUUCAUUAGGCAUUCAGUUAUCUGUGGACAAGAGGGGUUGCUCUGAUGGUAAGCAACCCCACUUUCAACCGAGAGGUUGUGAGUUCGAGNNNNNNNNNNNNNNNNNNNNNNNNNNNNNNNNNNNNNNNNNNNNNNNNNNNNNNNNNNNNNNNNNNNNNNNNNNNNNNNNNNNNNNNNNNNNNNNNNNNNNNNNNNNNNNNNNNNNNNNNNNNNNCUAAGUUCUUGGAGGGAAGGAUGCCGGAGGUCUAUUUGGAAACAGCCUCUCUACUCAAGGGUAGGGGUAAGGUCUGCCUACACACUACCCUCCCCAGACCCCACUAAGUGGGAUUACUGGGUUGUUGUUGUUGUUAGGCAUUCAGUUAUCUGCCUAGAUUUUUUAUUUUAUUUUUGGGUAACCGUGGUGUCUGGACUAGCUUCCGCUCCCCUCGACUAAUUCCACGGGAUACCCGCCACCUUCCGCCAGCAGGUCCCCAAGGCUUGGACAUAUGAGAAGAAAUACUUAGUGGGGUUUGAACCUGAGACCUCUGCCUAGAUUUUGUCAUCAAAUAGCUGCUUCUUCAUUAUUAUUGCUUAUUUAUUCUAAGUUAGGGAGUAGUGAACUUGGCAUCUCUGUUUUUUAAAUUUUGGCAUCUGAUAUGAAUUUAAAUGGUAAUAUUCCGUGAGGAUUCAUAUAGUCGACCCCAACUUGUUUGGUACUAAGAUAUAGUUUUUGUUUUAUCUGAUAAAACUUUCUUUUUUCUUUUCUUUUUCUUUUUUCCAGGCAUUGCUCCACUUCAUCUAUUGGGAUGCCCUUCCUGAUUUACAAGAGCUUGUAGGUCUCGAUACAAAAUGGGCAGUCACUUUGAUGGCUCAGCAUCUGCUUGCUGCAGCUGACCAGUAUGGUCUUGAGAGAUUGAGAGCACUUUGUGAGGCUAAGCUUUGCGAAGAUGUUACAAUCAACACCGUUGCUACAACUUUAGCUUUGGCAGAUCAGCAUCAUUGUGUCCAACUGAAAUCUGUGUGUCUUAAGUUCAUUGCGUUGCCUGAAAACUUGAAAGGUGAAGUAUUCGAUGCCUAUUGUUUGGAUAACUACUCAUCCAGUGUUCUUGAGAGCACAAAGCGCAAAAAAGCGACAAGGGCUCGCCUCGCUUCAAAAGCGAAGGGCACGCUUCAUUUAAGUUAGCGCAAUUCUUAAAAUACAUAUAAUAUAUAUAAUAAUUAAUUUAUAAACGGAAAUACACAUUAAAAAAAUCAAAUAAACUAAAAUAUAACAUCUAUAUAAAAUUAAUUUUUUAAACUGAAAUAAUAAAAUUAAUCAAACUGAAAAUAUAACAUAUAUAUAAUAAUUAAUUUUAUAAACUGAAAUGCACAUUAAAAAAAAAACCAAAUAAACUAAAAUAUAACAUAUAAUAGNNNNNNNNNNNNNNNNNNNNNNNNNNNNAACUUAUACUGAAAUAUAUACUAAAAAAAUAAAUAAAAGGGGUUUGGAAUCAAUCAUUCUCGUAGAAAGACCUUGUUGAAGUUAUAAAUAAAAGGGGUUUGCAAUUUUACAUGAGCCUUGGGGUUUGCUCCCUUUUAAGGUUUCAAGUUCGAAACCCACUAGGUGCAAAUAAUUUUUUAGAGCCAUCGGAUCGGGUAAACCUGAAUUAACCGUGGUGCACUUGCGGGAAACUCCUUGCCGAGGGCCUGUGCACCCCCGGGAUUAUUCGGGGCUCGAAGAGACUCGGACACCCGGUGCAAAUAAAAAAAACAUAUAUAAAUAAUGGAAGAAACAAGGAAAAAGGAAGAAGAUUCAAACCAGCCUGGACGACUGGUCAGAACUCGGAAGAAAAAAGAAAGAAAUAAUAGGAGCAUCUGGACUGGGACAAGAAGAAGAAAGAAAGAAAAAAAUGAGAAGAAGAAAGGGGAAGAAGAAAAUUACCUGGAAACCCUAGUUUUGUCAAUGAAGAAGAGAGAUUGGGUCUCUAUUUUGUCGAGCAAUUACAGAAGCGAGCUUAGGGGUCUGUUUUGUAUAAUUUACAAACAGACCCAAUCUUUGUUUUAGAAAAAGGGCCCAGAUGCGAUUUUUUAACAGAAGCACCGCUUCGUCUCUUUGUUGAGUUUUCCACCGAAGUGUGUGCUUCAGAAGGACGAGUCGCCUCUCUCUGGGAAAAGUGAUGCCUUGUCGCUUCUCCUCGCUUCACGCUUAAAGCGACGAAGCGAUCGCUUUUCCAAACUCUGUACUCAUCUGUUGGUGUUUUUUAUAUUACCACAGCCAACUCAUCAUAGUGAAAACACUUUGAGAAGUAUAUUGAUUUCUGUGUGGUCUCUUUAUUUGGCUUGAUGUGAAAGGUUGUUUCAGCCUGGUUAUUAUAUGAAUAUCUUGAUACUAGCAAGCACAAGAUCAUCAAUAGGUGAGUAGAAUCUCCAGUAGAGGAAAAUAUUGGGAUGUGUUUGCUUGGUGGCACAAUCUUUUCCCCGUUGGAUGUUUUGCUGUAAAUAUCUUGUUUACACUGCUGUCAAAACAAACUUUGGGCUAGAUGUCAUAUGUCUGCACUUCUGUUAUUUGUUUUACAUUUAUCCUGCAGGCAAUCAGCUAUUUGUCUUUAUUAAAUAAUCUCUGACUGGUUUUCUAUUUGUUUAAGCUCUGAUGCAAUCGGAGGGAUUUGAUCUGGCCUGUUAAAUGCAUCUUUGACUGGUUUUUAUCUGUUUUCAGCUGUGAUGCAAUCAGAGGGAUUUGAUCACUUGAAGGAGAGUUGUCCACCUGUCAUCACAGAAUUGCUGAAGUAUGUCGCUGGAAUGAAUGAACAUGCAAUCAUUUCUUAUGUACACGGUGGACACAUUCUAGAUGGCACUGAUGUGAAUGGAAGAAGAGUGAAGCAAAGGAUUUAUUGAGUGCAAGGUUUCCAUAUUUGAUGUUGUGUAGCAAUUUAUAAUGACAUAGUCAUCAAAUUUUUUUAACAGUUCCAAUUGGUAUAGUUAUUGAUUCUAUUACUAGUUCUAUUACCAAAGUGCAUGUAGUCCGUGAAUGCUUUCGUUGGUCACUCGUAUUGUUCUGUUUCUGAGCAAAUACCUAGGGUGGAUGAGGUGCCUGCGAUGUGGUAGGUGCUUAAAUGUUUUCAAUUUAGGACGAAGUCAACAGUUGUGUGAGUCUAAGCAACGGUCAAAUUCUGGUAAAGUGUGAUUUCUUUCUUUCCCUUUUUAUACUGAAGAUUGUAAUAUUGUCAAGUUGAGCAAAUUCGCUCACUGAUCUCGAGUUUGGCGUCCUGUCUGACUCUCAUGUAACGAUUGAUGAUGGAUAUUAUGGUUUUUACUGUUAUUCAAAUAUGAAGUGUUUUGUUC